UAAUACGAAGGGUGCAAGCGUUACUCGGAAUUACUGGGCGUAAAGCGUGCGUAGGUGGUGAGUUAAGUCUGUCGUGAAAGCCCCGGGCUCAACCUGGGAAUGGCGAUGGAUACUGGCUCGCUAGAGUGCGGUAGAGGAGAGUGGAAUUCCCGGUGUAGCAGUGAAAUGCGUAGAGAUCGGG
This 181-nucleotide ribosomal RNA is filed under the name uncultured bacterium. Its description in RNAcentral is "partial 16S ribosomal RNA". It matches the Rfam family "Bacterial small subunit ribosomal RNA", at positions 521 to 701 of the family's 1533-position model. The record is from RNAcentral.